UCAGUACAAAUAAUAUGCUGACUAAAGUUUAUUAACACUAAAGGACAAUAAAACUUGGGUAACAUUCUCAAUACAAAUAUUCUUAUUGCAUGCCAGCUAAAGUAGUAAAUUAUUGGUUUUCUCCUAAGACCACUGUUUAAUUGGGGCGAUAA
RNAcentral lists this ribosomal RNA (152 nucleotides) under Cladocopium sp. clade C. Its description in RNAcentral is "partial 23S ribosomal RNA". The record is from RNAcentral. Lineage: Eukaryota; Dinophyceae; Suessiales; Symbiodiniaceae.